ACUUCAACUGUCGGAACUUAAACAGUGUGACACCCAGCGGAAGUAAACAACAGCAGCGCCCCGUAGCGUUAGCUGCGUGCUGUUGUUGAAUGAGCUGGAAGAGACGGUAUAAAGUUGCACAGGAUAGGUGUAACGUGUAAUGUGAUUUCUCUGCAGUCCCUCCGUUCACCACGUGGAAAGACCCGAGGCGGUGGCGGCUGAAGCUGUGGGCGCCGAGCCACGUGCGUCCUGAGGACGAAUCUGUAGACUGCUGACAACCGGGAGACACGACGGCACCUCCAGGACCAACUGUCUGCGUCAUCGGAGGACAAACGCUACUUUGUCAGCGAGAUGGACGACAUCUCCAACCUGGAGACCAGCGUCCUGGAGAGUCCCCGAGACACGCAGCUGUGCAUCAAACUCGCCUUCAAGUACCUC
Molecule: long non-coding RNA, 417 nt
Organism: Sander lucioperca (pikeperch)
Lineage: Eukaryota; Metazoa; Chordata; Actinopteri; Perciformes; Percidae
Exons: 3
Source: RefSeq, a predicted model, not a curated record